This 76-nucleotide transfer RNA is filed under the name Escherichia coli. RNAcentral describes it as "tRNA-Ile". It matches the Rfam family "tRNA". Rfam says of the family: Transfer RNA (tRNA) molecules are approximately 80 nucleotides in length. Their secondary structure includes four short double-helical elements and three loops (D, anti-codon, and T loops). Lineage: Bacteria; Pseudomonadati; Pseudomonadota; Gammaproteobacteria; Enterobacterales; Enterobacteriaceae. The record is from RNAcentral.
GGCCCUUUAGCUCAGUGGUUAGAGCAGGCGACUCAUAAUCGCUUGGUCGUUGGUGCAAACCCAACAGGGGCCACCA